AGCAUUCUAAAGCCCCUGACCAGGGACGGUGUGAAGAGGUUCAAGCACCCUGCAUAGAGAAGAAUGCCCACUUCGUUACCACUCUUUUCGAACAGGAUUCCAUGAAUGCCGCAUUCGCCAGCUUUUCCCAAGCCUCAGAGUAUCUGUGUGUCUUUCAUUCACUGUGAGGCCCUCUAUGCAGCCCGGGACACGGAGACACCAUCCAGUCCCACCCUGAGGGUCUCAUGCUGGGAGAAAAACAAUCUCAAAAGUCCCGGGUUUGGAUUUGGGGUGGCUCAAAUUCAAGGAGCUGGAACCAAAGAGUAUGAAACCAAGACGCAGCUCAGCAUGCAGAGCCAGAGCUCUUCUCCCCCGAGAAGACGACUUCCCUGCAUCUCCAGCUCCAUAGGACCCCUCGGUUGACUCUCUUCAGCUUCUCUGCAUCUCCAGCUCCAUAGGACCCCGUGGUUGGUGCCCAUCAGCCUCCCAUCACCUCCAGUUCCACAGGAUCCCAUUGUUAGUGCCCUUCAGCCUCCCUGCAUCUCCAUCUCCAUAGGACCCAUGGUUGAUGCCCUUCAGCCUCCCUGCAUCUCCAUCUCCAUAGGACCCGCAGUGGUUGCACUUCAGCCUCCCUGCAUCUCCAUCUCCAUAGGACCUGUGGUUGAUGCCGUUCAGCCUCCCUGCAUCUCCAGCUCCGUAGGACCCCGUGGUUGGUGCCCUUUGGGCAAACAUCCCAUCAGCGUGGGCCACAUUUAUUCCACUGAAUGAAGAGCAUUUUCGUUUUCCGAUCAUGGACUAUUAGCUGUGGGAUGCACCAAAUAACCCUUUAUUUCAACCCUCCUGGUUUUACAGAGGGGGUAGCUGGGCUUUAGGCAGUGGAAUGAUGACACCUUGGUGGCAACACUGGCAAAGGGCGAAGGAGGCUGGGGCCCAUGACCUCCAGGGGCUGUAAUGGCCAUCUGACCUCUGAGUUCAGUCACAUAUGCAGAGCCCAGCAUGACUCCCAGCAGCCUGUCCAGAGGAAAGCUUGAUGAAGAACUUCAUAAUACCAUAGAACUCCAUUUUAAAAGCAAAAAUAUGUUUCUUUUAAAUAGCCUAUGAUUAAAUGUUAUUUGAUUUAAAAAGAGAGUGUACUGCACAGCUACUGAAACAGAGUUUAGGACUUUUGCAAACAGAUUCUAGAGAGGCAGUUCUCUGAAGACUGACCCUGAGGCCUCCAGGCCACAGCCCUUGAGGACCCGAGGUCCUGUCAUCUCCAGCAGCCACGCAGGGAAGCUGGACACAAGGCCUGUCCCAGCUGACCUGUGGGCUGACCGCAGCCCUGGCUGACACUGUAAUUGCAGCCCACAUGGUCUUCUGGGCCGAGGACCCAGACAAGCUGCAUCCGAUGCCUGACUUACAGAAACUUCCAGAUAAUAAGUGUGUGUUGUUUUCAGCCACUAAAUGUUGGGGUAGUCUGUUAUGCAGUAAUCCAUAACUAAGACAAAAUUUAACUCGAAUGAGGUUUAAAAAUAAAACAUAAGUGCAUAUACUAAACUCA
Long non-coding RNA from Pan troglodytes (chimpanzee), 1519 nucleotides. RefSeq lists it as uncharacterized. The record is from RefSeq and is a predicted model, not a curated record. Lineage: Eukaryota; Metazoa; Chordata; Mammalia; Primates; Hominidae. The transcript has 2 exons.